Molecule: long non-coding RNA, 1185 nt
Filed under: Ananas comosus (pineapple)
Lineage: Eukaryota; Viridiplantae; Streptophyta; Magnoliopsida; Poales; Bromeliaceae
Description: long non-coding RNA (ACOM_LNC020533)
Source: RNAcentral
AAUAGGUUAGAUAUUUAUUUUUCUGUUUAAUUUCAAAAAAUUAUACAUAUUUGUUUUUAGUUAGGAACGAGUAUCGAAAAGUAAUGUAAAUAUAUCAAAUAGCAAAUAUAUUACUACAAAGUUCAACUUUUUAUAUUUAUCUCUACAAAAUAUACUAAUUUUUUCAAAUAUAUCCCCGCUUUGAUCCGUUAGGCUUCAUGUGGGAUUGCGGGGAAAUUGCGUUAUGUGCGGUAAGAAAUAACGAUAGAAAAAAUACCUUAUUUGUUUCCAUAUGUAAUAUUGCGUUCCGCAUAUUGCGGUUAGUCGGUUACGAUAUAUUUUCUGCGGUCCCAUCGAAGAAUGUAGAAGCAUAUAUAUCCCUAUAUAUUUUUUCUCAACUCCAUUCUAUCUAAUAGUAUUAGAUCCACCUCAAUACCAAACUAAGCCAUAGUUAACUAUAAGUAAAAUAUUUAAUCCUAGUUUAGUGAAUGAGGUAAAUUGAUUUUUUUACUUCUUUUAUAUUAUUUGUGAUGGUAUAAAAGAAAAAAUGACUAUUGAAAAUAUUUUGGAUGAUAUUUCUGUAUAAUUCUAACAUGUGGGGUUUUUGGAGAGACAUAUUUUGUGAGAUCUCAUGAUAGUCUUAUAUAUAAGAUAUAUAAUAGGGCUAAAACUCUUAACACAGUUUAAACAUUUUGGCGAUGGCUGGGCCCAAGAGGUUAAUGUUAUAAUGGAUGACCCCCUGAAAAGUUGGGAUGACGACAAAAAUGUUAUUUCACUUAUCUUCUGUUAAAAAAUAAACAGUGUUCUAAUAAUAACAAAUCAGAAGGAUAAAUAUAAAUAUUACUAGACUUAAAAGAGAUAAAAAUAAAAAGUUAAACUUUAUAGGAAUAUAUAUUUACUACACGAUCGAUAUGUUUACAAGGAGCUAUCUAAAAUCAACCCUAAAUAAAAAGAAGUACCGAAAAAUUUGUAAUAUUUUAUGAUCUCAAGCUAUAAAUAUAUAUAUAUUUUUUUGAGAAAUAGAUAGCACGCUAUCCGCUUUGUUUAUUUUAUUUAGAAAUAAAUUUAGCUGAAAAUAUAAAUCAACUAGGAUUCGAACUUGGGUCUCAGGUACCAACUACUAAAUCCUUUGCCACUUGCUCUGGGACUGUCUGUACUAUAAAUUUAUUAUUUGAAUUGGUCGAAGUUUGGAUGAUUUGGGGAUGU